GUGAAGUUGAUUAAAAGAGAUCAAGCUGUAUGCUACCUAUGGCCUUCCUAGAAUUGCAGUGAAUAGGGCUUGAUUCCAAGUGACGGAGCUGUUACCUCAAGUAUAAAGUACGCAACCUGUAUUGCUUGAACUUUCUCAGUUCAAGACUGCUCAUGACAAUGAAUGUUCCCAGGUUGGAGUUCAGUUUCACCAUACGUUUACUAGUCUACCUAUAAGCAGUGGAGCACAGAACCAAUCUAAUUUCUAUAUCGCAUGUCUAUAGGGCU
This 266-nucleotide unclassified non-coding RNA is filed under the name Hevea brasiliensis (rubber tree). Lineage: Eukaryota; Viridiplantae; Streptophyta; Magnoliopsida; Malpighiales; Euphorbiaceae. The record is from RNAcentral.